RNAcentral lists this ribosomal RNA (325 nucleotides) under uncultured eukaryote. RNAcentral describes it as "partial 18S ribosomal RNA". It matches the Rfam family "Eukaryotic small subunit ribosomal RNA", at positions 1470 to 1796 of the family's 1831-position model. The record is from RNAcentral.
CCCUUAGAUGUUCUGGGCCGCACGCGCGCUACACUGAUACGUUCAGCAAGUCUACCACCUCGGCCGAGAGGCCCGGGUAAUCUUCUGAAAGCGUAUCGUGAUGGGGAUAGAUUAUUGCAAUUUUUAAUCUUCAACGAGGAAUUCCUAGUAAACGCAAGUCAUCAACUUGCAUUGAUUACGUCCCUGCCCUUUGUACACACCGCCCGUCGCUCCUACCGAUCGAAGAGUUAGGUGAAUUGUUUUGAUCGAUAAGAUUUGACUAUGGUCAACUCUCGUUGAGAAAUUCUGUGAAUCUGACUGUUUAGAGGAAGGAAAAGUCGUAACA